UGCCGCCCCUUCCACCCAAAGCCCUGCCCCUGUGCCAGCCUUUCCCCCUUAAGCUUAUUGUGGGCCUGAAGAUCACGGGACUAUAUUGAACGAUGUGGAGAAAAGAAUGGUCUUUUGGGACAAUGUGUGUGAAUUGGAUCUCCUGGGAAAUAUUUUGUGGAGGGGAAUGGAAAUUCCCCACCCCCGAUAUGUAAAACCCAGCCUUCUGAAGCUACAUUCUGAGGAGUGGGCCUUUGUCUGCUGAUUGUUCCUGGAAUCUGAAGUUCAAAGUCCCACGCUGUACACAGUAAAGACUGAACUAUUCAUGGUUGUGAAGUUCUAAGGCUGUAACCAACUUGUAACCACAGCAAAACCCCUUUGUGGAGUUUGAAGGACUGACUUCUAUCAGAGCCAUUGCUGUGAUCUCUGGUAUCUUCAUAUCCAGUAUAUUCAGCAGCAGUGCUAUGUGGUGGCGGGAGAAGAGCAGCUAUAAGCAGUUUUUCCAUCCAGAAUUGUGAGAUGAAGAGACUUGUGCAUUUUCUGGCCACUAACAAUGUAUGUUAAAGAUGUGCCUAUAUUCACAGAAGAACAUAUUGGUGAACACCUUCUGGGGUCAUUUAGCAGGCAUAGGCUUUUUCUUGCAGUCUGCAGGGCUGUAAAAGAUAGCUCUUUCCACUGGGGGCCACUGCUACAUAGGAGAAGACGAAAUGGGAGCUGCCUGCAGGGACCAGAGUCAACGCUGGGAUGGGAGCAACCUGCAGGAGAGAAGCCAGGAGUUGCCAAUGGAGCUGGAGCCACUGGUUGAAGAAGGGAACCUAGCAUCAGAGGAAAUUAAAUUUGGAGAGAGCAAGCAUAAGAACUAGGCACUAGUCAAAACAGAGCUUCAGUGUGACUUAAGUGGUGCAUUGUCUUUGUACUAGUCCUCUGCACAAGGGUUGACCUCUCCUGGUAAGAAGAGGACCAGGUAUCAGGUAACUAUUUUCAAGGAGUAGAGAAAGGGUGAGAGAUAUAGGGCAAGUGGAGAUUGAGAGGAAUUGGAAAAUAGCAGAUCGGUGAGGGAAACACAUUGAAAAGCAGAACUAGUGAUUUUUUUAAAUGACAAAACACUUCUUGCUUUAAAGAUGGUUAAACAACUAAAUUCUCUCCUAACAUUACUCCUCCAUGUUAGCAGCUGCCACAGAGGAACUGAAUAAUUGUGAUGAGCGAAGAGAUGAUCCACCAGGCACUUCCAUGACUAUGAUGUGGCUCACACAAUAUGAAACUUGGAGCACUUUUGGACUAGAUGCCCAGAGGGCCUUUCCAGCUCUAUCCUCCCUAAAAAUUAAGGAUGGAGUUUGAGUCUUAUGCUAACUUGUAAUGAAACAAGUAUAAUUUUCCCCUCCUCCCCAAAAUACCCAGUGUUAUAAACCUGCCUGGAAAAUAUCAAUAUAAAAAGCAAAUCCAUUUUCAUUUGUGGGACUACAAAAAAGCAUUUGUAACCAUUGCCAUAUACAUUGAUUGAUAGAUUC
Chelonia mydas (Green sea turtle) is the source of this 1487-nucleotide long non-coding RNA. RefSeq lists it as uncharacterized. The record is from RefSeq and is a predicted model, not a curated record. Lineage: Eukaryota; Metazoa; Chordata; Testudines; Cheloniidae. The transcript has 4 exons.